CCUACGGGAGGCAGCAGUGGGGAAUAUUGCACAAUGGGGGAAACCCUGAUGCAGCGACGCCGCGUGAGUGAAGAAGGAUUUCGGUAUGUAAAGCUCUGUCAGCAGGGAAGAAAAUGACGGUACCUGACCAAGAAGCCGCGGCUAACUACGUGACAGGAGCCGCGGGAAGACGUAGGGGGCAAGCGUGAUCCGGAUUGACUGGGUGUAAAGGGAGCGUAGACGGCAGGGCAAGUCUGGAGGGAAAGGCGGGGGCGCAACCCCCGGACUGCUCUGGAAACUGCCAGGCUGGAGUGCAGGAGAGGUAAGUGGAAUUCCUCGUGUAGCGGUGAACUGCG
RNAcentral lists this ribosomal RNA (335 nucleotides) under uncultured bacterium. Its description in RNAcentral is "partial 16S ribosomal RNA". It matches the Rfam family "Bacterial small subunit ribosomal RNA", at positions 338 to 690 of the family's 1533-position model. The record is from RNAcentral.